GCCAGUGUGGCUCAGUGGUGGAGCACCCACCUAUGAACCAGGAGGUCAGGGUUCGAUUCCCGGUCAAGGGCA
Non-coding RNA from Myotis davidii, 72 nucleotides. Lineage: Eukaryota; Metazoa; Chordata; Mammalia; Chiroptera; Vespertilionidae. The record is from Rfam.